Zingiber officinale is the source of this 905-nucleotide RNA transcript. It is a transcript of the gene named chaperonin-like RBCX protein 1, chloroplastic, with no coding region annotated. The record is from RefSeq and is a predicted model, not a curated record. Lineage: Eukaryota; Viridiplantae; Streptophyta; Magnoliopsida; Zingiberales; Zingiberaceae. The transcript is spliced from 5 exons.
CAAAGGAUGCCUAUUUCACUGGUGGCCUACCGCGAGCGAGCGAGCGAGAGAUGGAGUCCAUCGCCACACCCUUCUUCUCCAACUCCUGCGUCGUCACACUCAAGAGCGGAUCCAUCGCUCUCCCUUGCCGUCGCCGCUCGCCGUCUCCGCCGAGGAAGCGAUUGCUCGCCUCCCGCGAACUCCGCUGCCAGAAGAUGUAUGUUCCAGGGUUCGCGGAGGCUUCCCCGGAGGCGAAGGCUGCGAGGAAUCUACAGGAUUUCUUCACUUACCUCGCUGUAAAGAUCGUUCUGGCACAGCUCGAGAGCUAUAAUCGUGAGGCAUACGAUGAGUUGAUGGAAUUCAUCAGUGGCAAUUCUUUGAACGAUGGGGAAAAGUUCUGUCAAAGAUUGAUGCGCGAGUCUCCCAGGCAUAAGGGUUUAGCUCUGCGAAUCCUUGAGGUCAGUACACUCAAAAUUGUAGAAGAUGACAUGAACACUUCCAGUAUCAUGACUUUAUCCGUGUGGCACAAGAUAAAUCUACUUACUUGCAGGUCCGAUCUGCAUAUGCUAAGCAGGAUUUUGAGUGGGAAAACUUGAAGAAAUUAGCUUUCAAGGUUGAAACUGCCUUUGCCUGAAAAUCCACGUUAGCUGACAACUUAACGUGCAACCCUCACGCUUUUUCAAUUGGAUGGUGGAUGAAUCUAACACUAGGCUUAUGAGGGAUUAUGUGGAGGAAACAAGUCACCUCGAAAGUGAGGGUUAGUCCCUGAAACACAGAUCUUAUGAAGGGUUCUCUUUUAAUCGCUCGAUUUGAUAGAAGGUCGCACAUAGAAGGCAUCAUGCAAAUUAUGUUAUUAAUUGUUAUGAUAUAAAGGAAUAGAAGAAAAGCAAUCAUGAGAUUACAUAAUGUAUGAAUUCUCUAAAUUA